This 253-nucleotide ribosomal RNA is filed under the name uncultured bacterium. RNAcentral's name for it is "partial 16S ribosomal RNA". It matches the Rfam family "Bacterial small subunit ribosomal RNA", at positions 524 to 776 of the family's 1533-position model. The record is from RNAcentral.
UACAGAGGUGCCAAGCGUCAGGCGGAAUCACUGGGCUUAAAGCGUGUGUAGGCGGAUUGACAAGUACCUUGUGAAAUCCCACGGCUCAACCGUGGAACUGCUGGGUAUACUGUCGAUCUUGAGGCAUCUAGAGGCAACUGGAACAAACGGUGGAGCGGUGAAAUGCGUAGAUAUCGUUUGGAACGCCCAUGGUGAAAACAGGUUGCUGGGGAUGUACUGACGCUGAGACACGAAAGCCAGGGGAGCAAACGGG